Molecule: long non-coding RNA, 341 nt
Organism: Nyctereutes procyonoides (raccoon dog)
Lineage: Eukaryota; Metazoa; Chordata; Mammalia; Carnivora; Canidae
Exons: 2
Source: RefSeq, a predicted model, not a curated record
CUCUGCGUCGCCUUGCGUGACCCUGCGUGACCCCUAGGCACCCGACGGGUUUAAGCGCGCAGCCUGGAGGAAGAGGGGCGGUCGCUUGGUUUCUUGGCCUUCUAGGCCGGGUACUGGCUGGGGUCGGACGCCUGUUGUUCAAGACCUGUGUGCAGACAUAGAGAGGCAGAGACACAGGAAGAGGGAGAAGCAGUCUCCAUCCCGGAGCCCGAUGCGGGACGUGGGACUCAAUCCGGGGACUCCAGGACUGCGCCCUGGGCCGAAGCCAAGCACCAAACCGCUGAGCCACCCAGGGAUCCCCAAUAAAAUCUUUAAAAAAAAUAAAGUUAUUACUACUUAUA